CCCUUUCGUUUGUGUUUUAAAGCUAAUAGUUUGAAAUUAAUUAAGAGCAAUUAAAAGAAUGUUGAAGACAUUUUUUACAUUUUCAUUAGGAACCAUAUGUGGUGUCCUUCUUGCUCGAAGGGUACAAAACUUUUUUCACUUUGAAGGCCUUCGUAGCCUUGCCCCUAAAAAUGAUCUUAACAAGAAAGUUCUUGUAAGUUCUACGGUGGAAGAACAACGUCGUCCAUGAUGGAAAGAUCAAUAAAUUAUGGAGAAUUGCAAAUCAUUAUUAUCUAUUUAGUGGAACAAUGUUGGUUUUAUAAAGAUAUUGUAUUGUAGUAUGGAAACAUAUUUUAUGUUUUAAAUGUGUGGCAUAGUUACAGCUCUCAAAUGUCCUAUCCCUUAAUUGUCUCAAUUAAAUCAAUAGUCGAAGUUGAUUAUUGUAAAUAAAUAGUUGUGGGGAAUUUGUAUCCAUAUUAGAAUAGACGGUCUUGGAAUUGUAGAGUAGAUAAAAAUUACAUAUGCAAAUAAUUUAGGCUAAAUUACAUUUGUGGUCCUUUAACUUAAUCUCAGGUAACGUUUUAGUCCUUUAUCUUUUUUUUUUUUU
This 586-nucleotide long non-coding RNA is filed under the name Cicer arietinum (chickpea). Its description in RNAcentral is "long non-coding RNA (CARI_LNC003108)". The record is from RNAcentral. Lineage: Eukaryota; Viridiplantae; Streptophyta; Magnoliopsida; Fabales; Fabaceae.